This 287-nucleotide ribosomal RNA is filed under the name uncultured bacterium. Its description in RNAcentral is "partial 16S ribosomal RNA". It matches the Rfam family "Bacterial small subunit ribosomal RNA", at positions 775 to 1067 of the family's 1533-position model. The record is from RNAcentral.
GGAUUAGAUACCCUGGUAGUCCUAGCCGUAAACUAUGGAUACUAAGUGGUGGAUCAAUUUAAAGAAUUCAAUACUGUAGCUAACGCGUUAAGUAUCCCACCUGGGGAGUAUGCUCGCAAGGGUAAAACUCAAAGGAAUUGACGGGGGCCCGCACAAGCGGUGGAGCAUGUGGUUUAAUUCGAUCAACGCGAAGAACCUUACCAGAAUUUGACAUCCUAUUAACCUCUUAGAAAUAAGUGGCUUUAAUAUAGAGACAGGUGGUGCAUGGCUGUCGUCAGCUCGUGCCG